Molecule: long non-coding RNA, 3525 nt
Organism: Chinchilla lanigera (long-tailed chinchilla)
Lineage: Eukaryota; Metazoa; Chordata; Mammalia; Rodentia; Chinchillidae
Exons: 5
Source: RefSeq, a predicted model, not a curated record
CGGAAAGAAAAGUGCAGGUGUGUAAAAUAGUCUUCUAGCAUUAGCAAGCUCAAGGAGCUCCAGCUGCUUUUUAAACCAGUGGCACCUGUCUUGCCACAAGUCUGACAUGUAGCAUCUCAGAAGUUCUUCAGCGAGUGAGAGAUUCAAUAAAGCCUGUAGGUUAUCAGGACCAGAAUUUCUCUCAUGAAUUAUCGGACUUCAAGACAGGAGCAGAUAUCUGAAUGAAAAGCCAUAGGAUGCCAGAGAAGCUCUGUUGGCUCCUGAAAAGAAAGGAAAUUGAAGAGAAGCUGUUGAAGAAAAGUGUCAUGGGGGAUGGAGGAAGGAGCGUCAUCUUCAUCCGACCUGUGAAAGGGAGGGCACUGCCUAAGGAAACCCUGAAGAGCGUAGGCACUUCAGAGAUGGAUGGAUUUAAAUAAACAAAGCAGAAGGAAGACAUCAUGAAUAGAGGAAUGGGGCAAGGAAACUAUUUUGAAAUUGAAAGUAGCCCUCUAUAGUUGAAACACGUCAUGUCCUGGAUUCCAGUUUUGGCAAAGAGAUUACAUCAUCGUUCACCUCGUGCAGAAUUUGAAGGGGUUGUCUUAGUUCAGCCUAUUGAAAAUGAAAAAUUUGGAACAGCAGGAGAGGUUUUGAGGAAGGGAGAAUAAUCACCUACAAAAAUAGAUGCCAGAGAGAUAAUUCUCGUUUCAGUGCAAAGGACAAACAGGGAAGAUUAAAAAAAAAAAAAAAAAUGGAGAAAAUGAGACUGAAGAAUAUAGAUCAAAUUCUCUUCUCCAGAAAAGUAAAAACCUGGAGAUAAAGAAAAUAGUGUGAGACAGACAUUGAAAGAUUACUAGAAACAGUCACUUAUUGAGGUGAUUUCUGACAUGAAGAGAAAGAGCACAAUGUUUUUAUCAAGUACAGAUGAGGAACUUGACAGGUUAAAUAAUUUUUCCAAGGUCAAAUGCCUCCUUUAAAAUAUCACAUCUUCUCUCUCAUUGAGCACUUUUUUUUUCUCUUUUUGAUGUUCAGUAUGGAACCCCUUGCUUCACACAUACUAAGAACUCAGCCACUGAGCUGUAUCUCCAGGCUUGCCUUACGAAUUCUUAUUCCCACACCUGUGGAGUUCUUUUUCCACAGUGUCCACAUCCUUUCUUAGGGCAACGAAGAUCACGUGCACAAGAGUAUCUGAUUAUAUAAAUGUCCCCUUCCCUGCUUCCCGGGAUAUAGUGCUAAUAUUUAAAAUAAGCCGUAGGGAUGUAAUGAAGCUGGUUUUGCUCCACUUCUGGUUUAGAGAAUGUACCACAAAAGGAACAAGCAUACUGGUGAGUUCUGUUCUCAUCUCUACUAUGUCAGGCACAUUUAAUUAGUGGCAAAAAUAGAAAGGCAUAUUUAGCUCCUUAUUCAGCAAGAACUGAAAAGACACCAGAUUAGAGGCACAGCAAGAUACAAAGAUUGACAUUCUGACAAAGCCUUCUCUCUGAGACGAACAUCCGAAAAUGAUGACUCAGGCAAAUUAUCUGCUAAUUGCUGACCAGGUUUUAACUAGGUCAGCUCCAAAUAAGGACAUACAUUGAGCUCGAUAGAAGAAAUGCUUGUUACCUGAUUUGGUUUAGAUAGGAUCGGCAGAAUUGGGGUUAGAUGACAAGAAACAUUUAGGGCUGCACUGUGACGCAAGUUUAAUGACUCAAGUUUUUAAAGAAAGAGGCAUUUAAAAUGAGACAUUUUUCCAAGAAAACUGAACAUUUUUCCCGAUAUGUUUAUUUUGUUUUUUUGUUGUUCCACAACAACUUACCACGUAUUUUGCAGCUUAAAUGUAAUACAGGACAUUAUCUCAUAGUCUCCGGGGUCAGGAUUCUGGACUUCGGUUACCCAAAUCCUCUGUUCUGGCCUUGCCAGGAUGAAAUCAGUCUUGUUGGAGAUCUUCCAGGUUCCUAGCUUAUUGAUAUAAUUCAGCUUUUGUUUUAAUUGUAGGUCUGAGAUUGAGCUCUUGGAGGUUUGAGGACCUGAAUUAUUUCCUGAAUUCCUGAAAGAUGAAAUUCGCCAUUGGUUAUUCACCUGCUCAGCAAUUCGCCAUGUUGGCUGUGCAACAUGGCAGCUUUGCACCCUCCAACUGAUGGAGCAGAUAUAACAAGAAGGGGCACAGGACAGAAGUGACAAUCUGAAGUCAUUUAAUCCCCGAAAGGGAUAUAACACUUAGCGUAUGCAGUUAGAUAAAAGGAAGUAAUUAGCUAGAGCCCAUAGUUACGUGGAGAGACUACAGAGCCUAUCUUAGAGAAUGUCUGCCCUAAGAUGCAUAGCUUCAGUGUUGCUGACACAUACUUUCAGGGCCAGCUACCUGGGGUGAAUGCUUGGCUUUUUCCUUUAAUAACUGUGACGUUGGUGAGUUUCUUUUCUGAUGGUGCAUAUUCACCAUCUGAAACAGUAGUAUCUGUGUUCAUUAAAUGAGAUAAUGAAUGUAAAACACUUACCACAGCACAUCUGACACAAUACCUAUCAUCAUGGUACCUCAGUUCAGGACCUGAAUUCUUUCCAUGAUUCUAGUCACAGAGUGAAUUGGACAAGAACCAAAUGGAAUUUUCCCAUAAAGUCAACAUGAAGCCUAACCCUUGAAUUUGAUUGGUUCUUGUCCAAUUUGGUCUGAGACCAGAAACGUUGAAAGAAUUAAGUUCCUGAAGUGAAGUACCACUGUUCCUGUUAUGAUUGUGGUCAAUAAAUUAAAAUUUAAAGAAAUAACUGUUGGCAUGGUAUUCUUCUUAUGUGCUUAUCUUAUUUUUAUGCUGAUGCUAACAUACAGUAACAUGAUGUUUUUGUUUUACCUUGGUCCGGUUUCAUCCCCACGUCUUUUCAUCAUCAUUAAUGUCUUUAAUACACUUGACCAAAUAUUCAGAGAUGUCAGUUCUUUGCAGCAUUACUCAGUGUUGAAUUUUAUACUUCUAGUUAGUGUGUACCUUUCCUCCUAGGCUUCACGGGGCUUCCUUUGACCAGCAAUUGUACCAGCAGUUUCACGUGAGCACUUGUUUCUUGAUCUGACAGCACCUAGAAUGAUGCUGCGGUCAUACAAAAUACUCAGUAAAAUGACUAAAUGAAUGACUAUGUAAGUGCACUGCUGGGUUAACUGGAAGAAGGAAUUGAUAGAUACAUGGACACAUCAUAUUUUUUAUUGAUAAUUGAGCAGCUAAAGCUUUCUCUGUAUUAUUUUAUCCUGGUUGAAAACUUGUUUUGAUAAAAGAGAACUUGUUUUGAAAGUUCUGAGUUAAUGAGUUGUGUUCAAGUCUCUGCUGAAAGUAUGGCAUAAGAUGAAGUCGGCAUCACAGAGCCACGGGUAGCCAAAAAGCAGAGGGUGAGAUAGAGGUAUAGUCUUUUGGAUCUACGUGUAUCACAUUCGUGAGUGACUUGGGCCAAGCAAGUUACUUCUGCUCACCACAACAUUCAAUUUGGAAUUGGAAACAGGCUGACCUUGUAUGUGUUCCCUGUGGGACAGAAUCCUGACAGUUCUAAUAACUAAUCUAUCAAUCUGAAUCCAGUAAAAAUAUCUUAAAAAUAAAU